GACGAGAGGCGGAGUCACCCUGGACAGGUCACCAGUCUGUCGCAGUCUUUCAAAACACAAAAAAUAAUUUUUAUUAAGUAAUAAAAACCACCAUAACAUCAACAACAGAGAAACAAACAUCACAUUUUGAUGAGCGCCAUCACUAAAUCAUUGAUACUCAUCAAAUAUCUCGGUCAGUGUUUCAUUGAUUAUGUUUCAAAAUCAGCUCUUAUCAGGYGGGUUUUAGUCUAGAUUAAAUGAACUCAGUGUUUCGGCUGUUUUGCAGUUUUCUGGAAGUUUGUUCCAGGUCUGUGCUUCUCCACGUUUGGUUCUGGUUCUGCAGACCUGAGCGGUCCGGAGUGUUGAUACGAUGAUACGACAACAGCAGAUGAUAAACCUCAGUGACCUCUUGGCUCCACACUGCCACCUGCUGGAUGAUCGUCUCGGGGCGACUUCCUGCUGUGAUGUCAGAGUAUUUGGACCUGAACUGAACUGAGCUGGAACUGAACUGAAUCACUGAAUCGUUCAGUUUGGAGUUGUGCUCUAGAUCAGCACCUUUCUUCACUCCAACAUCUGGAUCUAAAAGUGGAAAAUUUGAUUUGAUUUCUUCCAUCAAGAUGAAAUUCUGUUGCAGUUUGACAGCAGAAAUCUCCUUCAUGAAGUCCAGAUGUUUUCUCAAGUUUCUGCUUCCUCUUUUAAUGGCUGACUGCCAAUCAUUUAUUCAAUAUUCAAUAUUGCCAAUGGUUGUAUCAUUUUCUGUGAUUUGAAUAUUUAUUUUUUAACUGGCAUCCUUAACAGAAAUGUAUUAUUUUGUCUUGUUUUGUUUAUGAGCAAGUUAAUGUCUUUGUUUAAUUCCUAUUAAAUCUGAAGUUUGUUCCUG
Molecule: non-coding RNA, 859 nt
Organism: Poecilia reticulata (guppy)
Lineage: Eukaryota; Metazoa; Chordata; Actinopteri; Cyprinodontiformes; Poeciliidae
Source: RefSeq, a predicted model, not a curated record